UCGGCUUAGAGUUUGAUCAUGGCUCAGGACGAACGCUGGCGGCGUGCCUAAUACAUGCAAGUCGAACGAAUUGGUGCUUGCAUCAUUGAGUGGCGAACUGGUGAGUAACACGUGGGAAACCUGCCCAGAAGUGGGGGAUAACACCUGGAAACAGAUGCUAAUACCGCAUAACAACUUACCGCAUGGUCGAGUUUGAAAGAUGUUCGUAUCACUUUUGGAUGGUCCCGCGGCGUAUUAGCUAGAUGGUGAGGUAACGGCUCACCAUGGCAAUGAUACGUAGCCGACCUGAGAGGGUAAUCGGCCACAUUGGGACUGAGACACGGCCCAAACUCCUACGGGAGGCAGCAGUAGGGAAUCUUCCACAAUGGACGAAAGUCUGAUGGAGCAACGCCGCGUGAGUGAAGAAGGGUUUCGGCUCGUAAAACUCUGUUGUUAAAGAAGAACAUAUCUGAGGUAAUUCAGGUAUUGACGGUAUUUAACCAGAAAGCCACGGCUAACUACGUGCCAGCAGCCGCGGUAAUACGUAGUGGCAAGCGUUGUCCGGAUUUAUUGGGCGUAAAGCGAGCGCAGGCGGUUUUUUAAGUCUGAUGUGAAAGCCUUCGGCUCAACCGAAGAAGUGCAUCGGAAACUGGGAAACUUGAGUGCAGAAGAGGAC
RNAcentral lists this ribosomal RNA (655 nucleotides) under uncultured Lactobacillus sp. RNAcentral's name for it is "bacterial SSU rRNA". It matches the Rfam family "Bacterial small subunit ribosomal RNA", at positions 1 to 659 of the family's 1533-position model. The record is from RNAcentral. Lineage: Bacteria; Bacillati; Bacillota; Bacilli; Lactobacillales; Lactobacillaceae.